Molecule: long non-coding RNA, 202 nt
Filed under: Elaeis guineensis (African oil palm)
Lineage: Eukaryota; Viridiplantae; Streptophyta; Magnoliopsida; Arecales; Arecaceae
Description: long non-coding RNA (EGUI_LNC034128)
Source: RNAcentral
CUCAGUAGGUGAAUCACCCAUUCAGUGAUAAUGUACUCCUACAUCUCAUCUGUAUGCCAUACCAGUAUCACUAUACUCUUUGGUUAAGAGGACAAUCAAUCCAUAUGGCACACAAUGAUCUUCACUCAAUAAACGUCAUCAUCCUGUAAUGAUGUAUCAUUUGAUCAUGAAUAUGUUUAAAAACUAUAUGAUAAAUCCUCUC